UUAAUUUAUGUAAAGUAUUCAAAAUGGUUUUUCACUGCAAGAGUUUCACUAGCGAAAAAAUGUGCGCCAAAGAAAUGGGUUUUCGGAGCAAGAAGGCUUUGACCGUAUUUUAGACUGACAUAAAAAUUAUCAGUAGUAGGGAAGCUUUCAACAACAACAUGCUGAAGGUUAGACGGAAAAGUCACAAAUAGGUUGAUUGUCAUUGACAUUAAGUAUGGGAACUGGACAAAAUACACGUACUGUAGAAAAUUGUGAUACACUGGAUUAGCAUUGGUUCAGACUUUGGCGGCUUGUUUACGACAGCACAAAAUUAACGAUAGUACAGAGAAGCACACAUAAUUCAUAUAUGGAGUGCUGCAUUGUUACAGUAAUGUGUUCAAGUUGGAUGAAAAUGACACUGUUGAUUAGUGCUCUGUAAUUAACCCUAAUAUUAAUUGGAAUAAUAUAUAU
Hydractinia symbiolongicarpus is the source of this 450-nucleotide long non-coding RNA. RefSeq lists it as uncharacterized. Lineage: Eukaryota; Metazoa; Cnidaria; Hydrozoa; Anthoathecata; Hydractiniidae. The transcript has 3 exons. The record is from RefSeq and is a predicted model, not a curated record.